RNAcentral lists this ribosomal RNA (213 nucleotides) under uncultured soil bacterium. RNAcentral describes it as "partial 16S ribosomal RNA". It matches the Rfam family "Bacterial small subunit ribosomal RNA", at positions 26 to 267 of the family's 1533-position model. The record is from RNAcentral.
AGAACGAACGCUGGCGGCAUGCCUAACACAUGCAAGUCGAACGAGACCUUCGGGUCUAGUGGCGCACGGGUGCGUAACGCGUGGGAAUCUGCCCUUGGGUACGGAAUAACAGCGAGAAAUUGCUGCUAAUACCGUAUAAUGACUUCGGUCCAAAGAUUUAUCGCCCAGGGAUGAGCCCGCGUAGGAUUAGCUUGUUGGUGAGGUAAAAGCUCG